AAGUCGUAACAAGGUUUCCGUAGGUGAACCUGCGGAAGGAUCAUUAUUGAAUUCAUCUACCGGGUUGUUGCUGGUUCCUUUUGGUUCAAGUGCACGCCUGGUUCUUGAUCUCUUUCCACCUGUGCACUUUUGUAGGCUAUCUACGUCUUGGUUGAUUGUCUGUUGCUCAAUAUCUUGCUUUUGUGAGACGUUGGAUUGGAGGAGUGAGCUUCUUAGUUCUUCCUCUAGGACUUUCAGCUGAGCACGAUUAGCUCUACGUUUUUUUACAAACCCAUUUGUAUGUCUAGAAAGUCCAUUACUGGUCGGAAGACCUUUAAUCUUUACACAACUAUUGACAACGGAUCUCUUGGCUCAC
Molecule: unclassified non-coding RNA, 355 nt
Filed under: Flagelloscypha minutissima
Lineage: Eukaryota; Fungi; Basidiomycota; Agaricomycetes; Agaricales; Niaceae
Description: partial internal transcribed spacer region
Rfam family: Eukaryotic small subunit ribosomal RNA (bases 1-46)
Source: RNAcentral